Diabrotica virgifera virgifera (western corn rootworm) is the source of this 462-nucleotide long non-coding RNA. RefSeq lists it as uncharacterized. NCBI's taxonomy places the organism in Eukaryota, Metazoa, Arthropoda, Insecta, Coleoptera, Chrysomelidae. The record is from RefSeq and is a predicted model, not a curated record. The transcript is spliced from 2 exons.
CGUAAAUGAGUGACAAUAUCGCAUAAAUUAUUGUGUUUGUGCUUAGGCCGUUAAACAUACGGCCCCUACCUUGGGAAUAAAGCUGCAUUCGAACACUACAUGGGGAAGCAAACUGUGACUGGAGAAAACUAUCUUGGAGAUCAGAACGCGACAGCGACAUCUCGCAACCUGGAUCCAACUACUGAUCUACUGAUGCAUCAGAAGAAUGGCUUCAACAAGAUAGCCCUAGAAUUUCCACAACUACCGACAGCAACAGAAAGUUCUGCAGAUAUUGGUGCCCUCCCAUGAGAACUUCGUGACUCCGAAAAGAAGACUUAGUACCUUUUUUUACCUUUAUAACUUUGAUACCGGUCACCAGAAGGGUCUCGAUCACAGUUUCAGAAAAUUAAUUUGGUUGCCUGUACAUAAUAGAAUGAUUUCUGUUAAUUUUUUGUAUCUGAUUAAAUAGUGUAUAUAAAAUGA